RNAcentral lists this ribosomal RNA (402 nucleotides) under uncultured bacterium. Its description in RNAcentral is "bacterial SSU rRNA". It matches the Rfam family "Bacterial small subunit ribosomal RNA", at positions 355 to 774 of the family's 1533-position model. The record is from RNAcentral.
UCGGGAAUUUUGCGCAAUGGACGAAAGUCUGACGCAGCAACGCCGCGUGAGGGAUGACGGCCUUCGGGUUGUAAACCUCUUUUGUCAGGGACGAUGAUGACGGUACCUGACGAAUAAGCCACGGCUAACUACGUGCCAGCAGCCGCGGUAAUACGUAGGUGGCAAGCGUUGUCCGGAUUUACUGGGCGUAAAGAGCGCGCAGGCGGUCGUUCAAGUCCCGUGUGAAAGCCCCCGGCUCAACUGGGGAGGGUCACGGGAUACUGAUCGACUCGAAGGCAGGAGAGGGUAGUGGAAUUCCCGGUGUAGUGGUGAAAUGCGUAGAUAUCGGGAGGAACACCAGUGGCGAAGGCGACUACCUGGCCUGUUCUUGACGCUGAGGCGCGAAAGCUAGGGGAGCAAACG